Molecule: ribosomal RNA, 495 nt
Filed under: uncultured bacterium
Lineage: Bacteria
Description: partial 16S ribosomal RNA
Rfam family: Bacterial small subunit ribosomal RNA
Source: RNAcentral
GACGAACGCUGGCGGCGUGCCUAAUACAUGCAAGUAGAACGCUGAAGGAGGAGCUUGCUUCUCUUGAUGAGUUGCGAACGGGUGAGUAACGCGUAGGUAACCUGCCUGGUAGCGGGGGAUAACUAUUGGAAACGAUAGCUAAUACCGCAUAAGAGUAGAUGUUGCAUGACAUUUGCUUAAAAGGUGCAAUUGCAUCACUACCAGAUGGACCUGCGUUGUAUUAGCUAGUUGGUGGGGUAACGGCUCACCAAGGCGACGAUACAUAACCGACCUCAGAGGGUGAUCGGCCAAGCUGGGACUGAGACACGGCCCAGACUCCUACGGGAGGCAGCAGUAGGGAAUCUUCGGCAAUGGACGGAAGUCUGACCGAGCAACGCCGCGUGAGGGAAGAAGGUUUUCGGAUCGUAAAGCUCUGUUGUAAGAGAAGAACGAGUGUGAGAGUGGAAAGUUCACACUGUGACGGUAUCUUACCAGAAAGGGACGGCUAACUACGUG